RNAcentral lists this ribosomal RNA (509 nucleotides) under uncultured bacterium. Its description in RNAcentral is "bacterial SSU rRNA". It matches the Rfam family "Bacterial small subunit ribosomal RNA", at positions 523 to 1042 of the family's 1533-position model. The record is from RNAcentral.
AUACGGAGGGGGCAAACGUUAUUCGGAUUUACUGGGCGUAAAGGGUUCGUAGGCGGUUUUUUAAGUUAGAUGUGAAAGCUUGAAGCUUAACUUCAAAAUAGCAUCUAAAACUGAAUUACUAGAUUCUUGGAGAGGUAGAUGGAAUUACCGGUGUAGCGGUGAAAUGCGUAGAUAUCGGUAGGAACACCAGUGGCGAAAGCGAUCUACUGGACAAGUAAUGACGCUGAGGGACGAAAGCGUGGGUAGCAAACAGGAUUAGAUACCCUGGUAGUCCACGCCCUAAACGAUGAAUACUAGAUGUUGGAUUUUUUCAGUAUCGUAGCUAACGUAUUAAGUAUUCCGCCUGGGGAGUACGGUCGCAAGGCUGAACUCAAGGAAUUGGCGGGGACUCGCACAAGCGGUGGAGCAUGUGGUUUAAUUCGAUGCUAAGCGAAGAACCUUACCAGGGCUUGACAUGUAAGCAUAAGCUUGCGUGAAGCGUGGAGUGGAUUUGAGUUUACUCAUUUCGG